GUCCCCAGUCUAGUGAAAACCCAGGAAAAGUUAGGGAUCUCCGCCCUCUCCCUCAAAACCCGGCUCGGGCUCCCAGGCCACAUACAGUCACCGACCGCUGCGUCCCUAACUGCGCCUUCCGAAACCGCCGUAUUUGAAUUCUCUCUUGACCGGCUGGCCGAGGAUGGUAUGCAGAUGAGUCCUGGAAUCUUGUUGCCAUUUAGCUGCCAUGAGAGAAGCCAAUGUGUGAAGACGUUUAUAUGCCAGAAAGAGCAGAGCCAAAGAAAAACCCAAGGACUAGCAGCCAGAAGACCACACUGCCACUGAGCUCUUCUCUUCCAGAAGCCCAUGAUUCCCUGUGUUUUACCCAACUUAAUUAUUUUCUGAUACUCAGCAAACAAAGCAUCUGAUAUAAUUGAAUACCUUUUUUUCCAAC
This is a long non-coding RNA of Bubalus bubalis (water buffalo), 415 nucleotides long. RefSeq lists it as uncharacterized. The record is from RefSeq and is a predicted model, not a curated record. The transcript has 2 exons. NCBI's taxonomy places the organism in Eukaryota, Metazoa, Chordata, Mammalia, Artiodactyla, Bovidae.